This 562-nucleotide long non-coding RNA is filed under the name Citrus x clementina. RNAcentral's name for it is "Citrus clementina (C. clementina) long non-coding RNA (CCLE_LNC000779)". Lineage: Eukaryota; Viridiplantae; Streptophyta; Magnoliopsida; Sapindales; Rutaceae. The record is from RNAcentral.
UAUAUAAUUCAAAUCCACAUUUUUAGGUCUAUUCAGACUUUAAAUGAAAAAAAAAUGUCACCUUAGUGUCACGGGCCGCUCAAAUUUGCCACCAAUGAAGGCUAAAUUAGCGCGCACAGGUACGCUAAGUAAAAGACCGGCCAAAGGUGGAGUGCGCUAAGCAACAAGGCAUAAAAGCUUUCUAGACCUAGGCAAGCCACUCUAUAAAAUAGGGUAUGACACCCACCAUUUUGCUCGACACCACACCACACACUAAGCAACUCAAGCAUCCUUGUCAAGCUUUCUUGUAUUCUCUCUUGUGAGUAAUAAAAUUCUCUUUAACCAUAUUACUUUUUCUUCUUUCUAGCUUUCUCCCAAGCAUUCUUCCUUAGUCAGCUUGAGAAGUUCAAUAGGCUUACUUAACAACUAUUGUGCUAAAAGUUGUUUAAGUGUCGUAAGAGUUACUAUGCAACAAACUCAUCAUGUGACAUUAGUCCAUGCACCUUUUGAAGAAGUAAUUUGAUGGGUCAAGCUGCCACUAUAGAUUUACCCAUUAAAGCCCAACCAAAAUAUUAGUACUUUG